RNAcentral lists this ribosomal RNA (484 nucleotides) under uncultured bacterium. RNAcentral's name for it is "partial 16S ribosomal RNA". It matches the Rfam family "Bacterial small subunit ribosomal RNA", at positions 28 to 523 of the family's 1533-position model. The record is from RNAcentral.
GAUGAACGCUGGCGGCGUGCUUAACACAUGCAAGUCGAACGGUGAAGCAGGAGCUUGCUCUUGUGGAUCAGUGGCGAACGGGUGAGUAACACGUGAGCAACCUGCCCCUGACUCUGGAAUAAGCGCUGGAAACGGCGUCUAAUACUGGAUAUGUGAUGUGACCGCAUGGUCUGCAUCUGGAAAGAAUUUCGGUUGGGGAUGGGCUCGCGGCCUAUCAGCCUGUUGGUGAGGUAAUGGCUCGCCAAGGCGUCGACGGGUAGCCGGCCUGAGAGGGUGACCGGCCACACUGGGACUGAGACACGGCCCAGACUCCUACGGGAGGCAGCAGUGGGGAAUAUUGCACAAUGGGCGGAAGCCUGAUGCAGCAACGCCGCGUGAGGGAUGACGGCCUUCGGGUUGUAAACCUCUUUUAGCAGGGAAGAAGCGAAAGUGACGGUACCUGCAGAAAAAGCACCGGCUAACUACGUGCCAGCCGCCGCCGUAA